Molecule: unclassified non-coding RNA, 351 nt
Filed under: Hevea brasiliensis (rubber tree)
Lineage: Eukaryota; Viridiplantae; Streptophyta; Magnoliopsida; Malpighiales; Euphorbiaceae
Source: RNAcentral
UUUAAAUGCCAAAAAUUCAAAAUUAAUAAAUCCAGCCAUUUAGCCAGUUAUUCUCAGCAGUUGAGAGAAUUUCAGUACAUUUGAUGCUAUUUCUAGUGGCUUUUCCUUUUUCAAGUUUAUUUUAGGAGUAAGCAGCAGUUCAAACAACACCUAGACUGUGAAAUAUGAGUCUUUAGGAUUUUGUUGCAUGAAAUCUCUCUCUCUCUGUUUUUAUGAUUUUAUGUUCUAUCAUAUCUGAACUUCCAGAAUGAUUUCUGAUUUGCCUACUCAAGAAAUUUAAAUUUUGACCAUAUACGUCAGGAAGUAGCAGGAAAGCCAAAACUAGCUUUUGCAGAUAGACACCUUCCAAGA